GCCAGGCGUUGUGGUGGGCGCCUGUGGUCCCAGCUACUUGGGAGGCAGAGGCAGGAGACUCGCUUGAGCCCAGGAGUUGGAGGUUGCUGUGAGCUGUAAUGCCACGGCACUGUACCCAGGGGGAAAGCUUGAGGCUCUGUCUCAAAAAAAAAAAAAAAAACCAACAUUUUACUGGCUUAUGAAAGUUUAGUAAAUUAAAAAGAGAACAAGAAAUGUUUAGAAUAGGGUAAAAACUUUUCGAGGACAAAUCAGUAUUUUUUUUUUUUUUUGAGACAGAGCCUCAAGCUGUCCCCCUGGGCAGAGUGCCGUGGCAUUACAGCUCACAGCAACCUCCAACUCCUGGGCUCAAGCGAGUCUCCUGCCUCCG
Molecule: non-coding RNA, 367 nt
Organism: Otolemur garnettii (small-eared galago)
Lineage: Eukaryota; Metazoa; Chordata; Mammalia; Primates; Galagidae
Source: Rfam